RNAcentral lists this long non-coding RNA (445 nucleotides) under Oryza sativa aromatic subgroup. RNAcentral describes it as "lncRNA OsARC_09g0008670". The record is from RNAcentral. Lineage: Eukaryota; Viridiplantae; Streptophyta; Magnoliopsida; Poales; Poaceae.
GAGGGUGGGGGUGGGCGAGCGUGGGCCGGACACAUCCCUGGGCCGCUGGUCCCACACGACAGAGACGGAGAGCGGGCGGGAAGAGACCGGGCAGCGGGCGCGCGCGGUGAGGAAGCCCGCAAGGUCGAAGAGGAGGCAGGCGGCGGAGAAGGCCGGGGUGGAGAGGAGCGUGGCACGGUGGGAGGUGGUCACCGAGGAGAAGACCUUCGGCAAGCUCGGCAUGGUUUCGGCGAACUCGCCACCGCGUGGAUCGGCAAGGCGCGCCGAAUCAGAGCCGUGGGAGACGAGGAGGGGGAGACGGGGAGUGGUGGUGGUGGGCGCUGGGUGUUGACGGCGCAGGGCGAGCGGGGCCGGGAGGGGGGGGUGUGGGCGAGCACGGGCCAGCGGCCGACGACGGUGUGGGGCCGGCGGGAGGUAGGCGAUGACCAGAGAUAGAUAAGAAGGA